AUUGAACGCUGGCGGCAGGCCUAACACAUGCAAGUCGAGCGGAUGAAGGGAGCUUGCUCCUGGAUUCAGCGGCGGACGGGUGAGUAAUGCCUAGGAAUCUGCCUGGUAGUGGGGGAUAACGUCCGGAAACGGGCGCUAAUACCGCAUACGUCCUGAGGGAGAAAGUGGGGGAUCUUCGGACCUCACGCUAUCAGAUGAGCCUAGGUCGGAUUAGCUAGUUGGUGGGGUAAAGGCCUACCAAGGCGACGAUCCGUAACUGGUCUGAGAGGAUGAUCAGUCACACUGGAACUGGGACACGGUCCAGACUCCUACGGGAGGCAGCAGUGGGGAAUGUUGGACAAUGGGCGAAAGCCUGAUCCAGCCAUGCCGCGUGUGUGAAGAAGGUCUUCGGAUUGUAAAGCACGUUAAGUUGGGAGGAAGGGCAGUAAGUUAAUACCUUGCUGUUUUGACGUUACCAACAGAAUAAGCACCGGCUAACUUCGUG
RNAcentral lists this ribosomal RNA (484 nucleotides) under uncultured bacterium. RNAcentral describes it as "partial 16S ribosomal RNA". It matches the Rfam family "Bacterial small subunit ribosomal RNA", at positions 30 to 507 of the family's 1533-position model. The record is from RNAcentral.